GCCGAAGUGGCGGAACUGGCAGACGCACAGGACUUAAAAUCCUGCGGGACUUAUACUCCCGUACCGGUUCGAUUCCGGUCUUCGGCACCA
This 90-nucleotide transfer RNA is filed under the name Clostridium butyricum. RNAcentral describes it as "tRNA-Leu". It matches the Rfam family "tRNA". From Rfam's summary of the family: Transfer RNA (tRNA) molecules are approximately 80 nucleotides in length. Their secondary structure includes four short double-helical elements and three loops (D, anti-codon, and T loops). Further hydrogen bonds mediate the characteristic L-shaped molecular structure. tRNAs have two regions of fundamental functional importance: the anti-codon, which is responsible for specific mRNA codon recognition, and the 3' end, to which the tRNAs corresponding amino acid is attached (by aminoacyl-tRNA synthetases). tRNAs cope with the degeneracy of the genetic code in two manners: having more than one tRNA (with a specific anti-codon) for a particular amino acid; and 'wobble' base-pairing, i.e. permitting non-standard base-pairing at the 3rd anti-codon position. RNAcentral also lists the same sequence under 10 other names. The record is from RNAcentral. Lineage: Bacteria; Bacillati; Bacillota; Clostridia; Eubacteriales; Clostridiaceae.